GUAGGGAAUCUUCCGCAAUGGACGAAAGUCUGACGGAGCAACGCCGCGUGAGUGAUGAAGGUUUUCGGAUCGUAAAACUCUGUUGUUAGGGAAGAACAAGUACCGUUCGAAUAGGGCGGUACCUUGACGGUACCUAACCAGAAAGCCACGGCUAACUACGUGCCAGCAGCCGCGGUAAUACGUAGGUGGCAAGCGUUGUCCGGAAUUAUUGGGCGUAAAGCGCGCGCAGGCGGUUUCUUAAGUCUGAUGUGAAAGCCCCCGGCUCAACCGGGGAGGGUCAUUGGAAACUGGGGAACUUGAGUGCAGAAGAGGAGAGUGGAAUUCCACGUGUAGCGGUGAAAUGCGUAGAGAUGUGGAGGAACACCAGUGGCGAAGGCGACUCUCUGGUCUGUAACUGACGCUGAGGCGCGAAAGCGUGGGGAGCGAACAGGAUUAGAAACCCUAGUAGUCC
This 451-nucleotide ribosomal RNA is filed under the name uncultured bacterium. Its description in RNAcentral is "bacterial SSU rRNA". It matches the Rfam family "Bacterial small subunit ribosomal RNA", at positions 354 to 796 of the family's 1533-position model. The record is from RNAcentral.